GACGAACGCUGGCGGCGUGCUUAACACAUGCGAGUCGAACGGAAAGGCCCUGCUUUUGUGGGGUGCUCGAGUGGCGAACGGGUGAGUAACACGUGAGUAACCUGCCCUUGACUUUGGGAUAACUUCAGGAAACUGGGGCUAAUACCGGAUAGGAGCUCCUGCUGCAUGGUGGGGGUUGGAAAGUUUCGGCGGGUGGGGAUGGACUCGCGGCUGAUCAGCUUGUAGGUGGGGUAGUGGCUUACCAAGGAUUUGACGGGUAGCCGGCCUGUGAGGGUGACCGGCUACACUGGGACAGAGGUACGACCCGUGCUGAUAUGGGAAGCAUCAGUGGGAAAUAUUGCACAAUGGGCAGAAGCAUGAUGCAGCAACGGCGCGUGCUGAAUAACGGCCUUCGGGUUGGAAACCGCUUUGGCCUGUAACGAAGCGUGUUUGACAGUAAUAAGUUAAGGAGCACCGGCUAACUACUG
Molecule: ribosomal RNA, 467 nt
Filed under: uncultured bacterium
Lineage: Bacteria
Description: partial 16S ribosomal RNA
Rfam family: Bacterial small subunit ribosomal RNA
Source: RNAcentral